AAGUCGUAACAAGGUUUCCGUAGGUGAACCUGCGGAAGGAUCAUUACCGAGUGAGGGCCCUCUGGGUCCAACCUCCCACCCGUGUUUAUUGUACCUUGUUGCUUCGGUGGGCCCGCCUCACGGCCGCCGGGGGGCAUCUGCUCCCGGGCCCGCGCCCACCGAAGACACCUAGAACUCUGUCUGAAGAUUGAAGUCUGAGUGAAAUUAUAAAUUAUUUAAAACUUUCAACAACGGAUCUCUUGGUUCCG
RNAcentral lists this unclassified non-coding RNA (248 nucleotides) under air metagenome. RNAcentral describes it as "partial contains small subunit ribosomal RNA, internal transcribed spacer 1, and 5.8S ribosomal RNA". The stretch from base 1 to 46 matches the Rfam family "Eukaryotic small subunit ribosomal RNA", at positions 1786 to 1831 of the family's 1831-position model. The record is from RNAcentral.